UACGGAGGGUGCGAGCGUUAAUCGGAAUCACUGGGCGUAAAGCGCGCGUAGGCUGUUUUUUAAGUCAGGGGUGAAAUCCCACCGCUCAACGGUGGAACUGCCUUUGAAACUGGGAGACUUGAGUACGGGAGAGGGUGGCGGAAUUCCAGGUGUAGGGGUGAAAUCCGUAGAUAUCUGGAGGAACACCGGUGGCGAAGGCGGCCACCUGGCCCGUAACUGACGCUGAGGUGCGAAAGCGUGGGUAGCAAACAGG
This 253-nucleotide ribosomal RNA is filed under the name uncultured bacterium. RNAcentral describes it as "partial 16S ribosomal RNA". It matches the Rfam family "Bacterial small subunit ribosomal RNA", at positions 524 to 776 of the family's 1533-position model. RNAcentral also lists the same sequence under 1 other name. The record is from RNAcentral.